This 460-nucleotide ribosomal RNA is filed under the name uncultured bacterium. RNAcentral describes it as "partial 16S ribosomal RNA". It matches the Rfam family "Bacterial small subunit ribosomal RNA", at positions 338 to 795 of the family's 1533-position model. The record is from RNAcentral.
CCUACGGGAGACUGCAGUGAGGAAUAUUGGUCAAUGGACGAGAGUCUGAACCAGCCAAGUAGCGUGAAGGAUGACUGCCCUAUGGGUUGUAAACUUCUUUUAUAUGGGAAUAAAACGUUCCACGUGUGGGAUUUUGUAUGUACCAUAUGAAAAAGGAUCGGCUAACUCCGUGCCAGCAGCCGCGGUAAUACGGAGGAUCCGAGCGUUAUCCGGAUUUAUUGGGUUUAAAGGGAGCGUAGGUGGAUUGUUAAGUCAGUUGUGAAAGUUUGCGGCUCAACCGUAAAAUUGCAGUUGAAACUGGCAGUCUUGAGUACAGUAGAGGUGGGCGGAAUUCGUGGUGGAGCGGUGAAAUGGUUAGAUAACACGAAGAACUCCGAUUGCGAAGGCAGUUCACUGGACUGCAAAUGACACUGAGGCUCGAAAGUGUGGGUAUCAAACAGGAAUAGAUACCCUUGUAGUC